UACAGAGGUCUCAAGCGUUGUUCGGAUUCAUUGGGCGUAAAGGGUGUGUAGGUGGCGCCGUAAGUCGGGUGUGAAAUUUCGGAGCUUAACUCCGAAACUGCAUUCGAUACUGCGGUGCUUGAGGACUGGAGAGGAGACUGGAAUUCAUGGUGUAGCAGUGAAAUGCGCAGAUAUCAGGAAGAACACCCGUGGCUAAGGCGGCUCUCUAGUACGGUACUGACGCUGAGACGCGAAAGCGUGGGGAGCGAACAGG
This 253-nucleotide ribosomal RNA is filed under the name uncultured bacterium. RNAcentral describes it as "partial 16S ribosomal RNA". It matches the Rfam family "Bacterial small subunit ribosomal RNA", at positions 524 to 776 of the family's 1533-position model. The record is from RNAcentral.